Pelobates cultripes (western spadefoot toad) is the source of this 353-nucleotide non-coding RNA. NCBI's taxonomy places the organism in Eukaryota, Metazoa, Chordata, Amphibia, Anura, Pelobatidae. The record is from the annotation of a GenBank genome assembly.
GUGACCGUGGCGGUGGAGGAGGGUGAGGUAGCCAAAUCUGUUUUAUAUAUAUAUAUAUAUUUAUUUUUUUUUAAUUAGGGUAGCCCACAAAAUAUUGGGACAUAUAAAAAAAAAAGACAACUUUGUUCCGCCGAGUAGCUGUUGACAUUAUAGUUGCGCAGGCACUUUGUUAACUCUAGAGAACCUCGGGCCAAUCGCACAUCCCCGUGGCAACGACUUUGCAUGCGGAUGUCACCCAUAUAAACUUUCGAUGCCAGUUUCUGCGCCUACCAUGAUGACCACGGGUAACGGGGAAUCAGGGUUCCAUUCCGUACAGGGACCCUGAGAAACAGCUACCACAUGCAAGGAAGGCA